RNAcentral lists this transfer RNA (75 nucleotides) under Shewanella putrefaciens. RNAcentral describes it as "tRNA-Thr". Lineage: Bacteria; Pseudomonadati; Pseudomonadota; Gammaproteobacteria; Alteromonadales; Shewanellaceae. The record is from RNAcentral.
GGCGGCGCCAGCACUCUCCUCUCCGCCAAAGGCAAUAGUCGCCUCAGCUAAACCAUCUACAAACCAUUUAAAGCC